GAUGGUGAAAUUUUAUUGAUAAGGUGAAAUUUUUAAUUUAACGUAAACUCUUGAGAAAUCUGUUGAGACUAAAAAAUUUAGGUAAAAAACCAGGAUUAGAUACCCUGUUAUUCUAAAUAAUAAUUUAAAUAGGGUAGUAAAAGUCGUUCUUCAAACCCAAAGAUUUUGGCGGCAUCUUAUCCUAAUAGAGGAGCUUGUCCUAUAAUUGAUAGUCCUCAUUUUAUCUUACCCUCCUUUGUAAAGCUUGUAUACCGCCGUUGUCAGAUUACUUUAAAAGAAUGUUUUCAAGAAAAAUAUUUUUCUUACUUCAGGUCAAGGUGCAGUUUAUGGGAGGGCAGCGAUGAGCUACAAUUUUUAAUAAAAACACGGAUUUUAGGUUUAAAACCCGGGUAAAGGUGGAUUUAUUAGUAAACUUACUUAAGUAUAGUAAGUUGAAUAGGGCAAUGAGAUGUGCACAUAUCGCCCGUCACUCUCUU
RNAcentral lists this ribosomal RNA (476 nucleotides) under Daphnia pulicaria. RNAcentral describes it as "partial 12S ribosomal RNA". The stretch from base 132 to 476 matches the Rfam family "Microsporidia small subunit ribosomal RNA", at positions 752 to 1208 of the family's 1311-position model. Lineage: Eukaryota; Metazoa; Arthropoda; Branchiopoda; Diplostraca; Daphniidae. The record is from RNAcentral.